Molecule: ribosomal RNA, 203 nt
Filed under: uncultured bacterium
Lineage: Bacteria
Description: partial 16S ribosomal RNA
Rfam family: Bacterial small subunit ribosomal RNA
Source: RNAcentral
UACGGAGGGUGCAAGCGUUAUCCGGGAUUCACUGGGGUUUAAAGGGAGCGUAGGAGGGCAGGUAAGUCAGUGGUGAAAUCUUCGAGCUUAACUCGGAAACUGCCGUUGAUUACUAUCUGUCUUGAAUACCGUGGAGAUGAGCGGAAUAUGUCAAUGUAGCGGUGAAAUGCUUAGAUAUGAACAUAGAACACCAAUUGCGAAAG